Molecule: ribosomal RNA, 321 nt
Filed under: Triticum aestivum (bread wheat)
Lineage: Eukaryota; Viridiplantae; Streptophyta; Magnoliopsida; Poales; Poaceae
Description: partial small subunit ribosomal RNA
Source: RNAcentral
AUGCAUUUGAUAUCAUUUCCCUCUCUCCUGGGUUCGAUCUAUCUGGUUUGUUCGAUGAAAGAUAGCCAAGUAGAGGCGUGGUUUGCUUCCAAACAGCUGCCAGCAACCGUAUUUGUGAAGCUGAAGGAACUAGCCCAACGCAUGAACCAAACAAACCAGCGCAUGAAGCAAACAAAGCUUAAGGAACAGGCACCGGGCAUAUAUGACAGCCAUUGUCACAAGAGAUGGAGUCAGACAGUACAUUAUGUCUGGUUUGUUUGGUUAAAUGCAUCUAAACCGGAGUCAAACAGUACAUUAUUUCUGGCCCAACCGUCUUUGUGA